UUUCAGGUCGGCUUUCUGUUGGCGCGGGGGCAUGGGCAGGGGCGGCCUUCUUGUUCGUCGCCGUUGCCUUUUUUAUCUCGCUUGCCGUGCCAGCUCGAGUCGUUGCCGUUGUCUCUCCCCUCUGGUACGUCCCGCUGCCGCUCCACGACAAGGACCCGCCGCAGCCCCUCCAGCGGCAGUGGGAGCCGGUGCUGCCGGAGAGGAAGGACGGAGAGGUGGGCCUUAACCCAAGAAGUACAAACAGUAGAUAGCCUAAUGAUGGUUUUAAUCUCUUAUUUUAGUUCAAAAGCCUACAAAUACGACACCUCGAAGAACUACUUCCAGGACAUACACCUGGAACCUUAUGUUCUUAACAGCGGGUUCCGUUCUUUUUAUCACUCUACGUGGCGAAACGGCAUGUACAUUAGUGGUCUAGUUCUUUUGUGGGAAGAGUUAACCAUGGAACACUUAUAGAAAAACCUGUGUUUCUGGGCCUCUGGACGUUUUCGACCCAACUCGUAGAGUCACGUACGUAUUUAUUACUUGUCCUGUCCGGGUUCUUGGACUACCACAAACAGGUAGGUGAAACACCUUUUCCAUCUCCAACGUUUUUAACCCUUUACCAUCGAGGAAAUAAACUGGCCCGCUUUCAUUUAUGUUUCCACUAUUAGUGCCUCUCUCGUCCUGUACGUAUACUGUGGAAUCGUAGUUAUAGUCUAUUUCUCGAGUUCUUUAAACUGCCACAACAACGUCACCCACCACUACCAAAUAAAUUACUUUAGGACUUACCUGAUGAUUUAAGCUCCUUAUUCUAAAGAAUAGGAGGUUGAGGUCUCCCGAAACCUAUAAAACCUUCGUGACUCUUUACGGUUCCUACGUCCUUGCUACCCGAUUUGUUGUCAUGCCGGUGUAGUCUACGACAUUUACAGUACGAGGCACACCCAAGGUUGUUUAGACUACUAGUACUUGGAGAAGAAAGCUGACCUUUUAGACAACAACCUAAUCUGUAGAGUAGUAAUUUAGGUUUAUGUCUUAGUAGAUGACCUCCAGUUACUCAUUGGCUUUGAGUCAAUAAAACAGAUAGAAUUUUGACGUUUUUUAAAUCCCGGUCGCUGUGCUGACUAUCGAAACAAAAUACAACUUUAACCAUGAUGACGUCUAGUUCAAGGAGGUCAGAAGAAGGGUUUACUAACCAAAUCCGAACCGUAUUAAGGAAGACCGAGUUGUCUACGAUAACAUGAGUCGUGUUGACCCCUUGCUCUACGACACUGAAGACGGGACGAAUAAUAGAAACCAUCUUCCUAUCGCGAACUAUAUCGAGUUCAUCAGUCCACCUUCUCAUCGGGUAGUCGACUCCAAAAUGGAUGACAUGCGAUACGUCGAAGUAAACGUCCUAUACCUAAAAUACCUCUUCAGUAUUCCCUCUCACUUUUGAUGGCUACCUACCCGGGACGUGCAAUACUAAAAAGACCUUGAUACCAGAAGGACUUCGUGUCUAGAAUACUACGUUUUCACCGAAAAGAACUCUUACUCUUGAGAGUAAGUAAACGACGUAGUCGUCUCUUACAACGUCUACUUCAUGUUGGUGACGUUAGAGCAUCUUUUUCUAGAGCGUUUUGUUAAACGGUUCGUUUAACAAGACAUACGUUUCUUUGAAGUUGCGGACCUGUUUUAAGUCUUCUACUCUAAGGUUUGUCGAGAGUUUGCUAAGUAUUAUUGGGUUUUACCUAGACCAGGCUCCCCGCAAAAGAUUCACAGCCACGUCGACAGUAAAGUACAGCGUUACUUUCUCGGGGACUACCGGAUCACCGACUUCGUGUGGAGAGUCUACCAAAAGAUGUGGAAGACGAGUAAUCUCUAACGGGAGAAGGGAAUAUAAACACCGUAGACUGUGUUAAAUGAUUCUUCCCCAGCCUGGGAAAUUGGAAGUUCAAACAACUUGUAGUAUUCUGUGCUCGUAAAUGGAAGUAGAGUAGUGUGCUGCUUUCGCAUACCUUGAACCUACCGCUCGAAAAAGUCCGGACGCUUCACAGACAGGUUCGAACGGCCCCGGAACAGUUGGAGAAGCGCAGUCCCGGUCUCCACAUCGUUACGGGGUAUUCAAUAUCGAAGGGAGGGAAGAAAGUGUUUCCCUUCUGUAGUCUUAUCAAUGACAACAUCUCAACAUCUUCUUGGAGUACAUCUAUAUCUAUACAUUUGACGCCAAGAGCAUGGUGCGUUAUUUCUUGGCCCGUCGCAAAAGAAGUUACAGGUUCCUUCCUUCUCGAUGUCUAAUACGAUUUUUUUUGUCUACUUAAAAGCACGCAGCGUUACGACAUUUUAAACGUAACGCCUGUGCCUAACUAGACCAAGAACGUCCUUCGAUUAAACCGUAUGCUGUUAUAAGCAACAUCGAGUUGUUGUGAAGCACAACCUUAACACAGCUUAUAACACAUGUUCCAUCCAAUGUCAACCUGAACAUCAACAUA
This 2447-nucleotide ribosomal RNA is filed under the name Triticum aestivum (bread wheat). Its description in RNAcentral is "partial small subunit ribosomal RNA". The record is from RNAcentral. Lineage: Eukaryota; Viridiplantae; Streptophyta; Magnoliopsida; Poales; Poaceae.